AAGGAGAAGGAUUCUGAUUGACUGGUGACUGGAUAACUAGGUUAGUUCAAUUUCUGCUGAUC
RNAcentral lists this small RNA (62 nucleotides) under Caenorhabditis elegans. Its description in RNAcentral is "Unclassified non-coding RNA R01H5.1". Lineage: Eukaryota; Metazoa; Nematoda; Chromadorea; Rhabditida; Rhabditidae. The record is from RNAcentral.